Microcebus murinus (gray mouse lemur) is the source of this 850-nucleotide non-coding RNA. The record is from RefSeq and is a predicted model, not a curated record. Lineage: Eukaryota; Metazoa; Chordata; Mammalia; Primates; Cheirogaleidae.
UUCAGAUUCUAACCAGUAAGGGUGGACAAGGCUCUAUCAAUUUCAGCAAACAUACACAUUUCUCAUCAGCAAGAUUUGCUCAUUGUAAGAAGGGCCACAACUCUGAAGGGAAUGAUUACAACUCUUUGAUUUGAUCCUCUUUGUCGAUGUCCUUGGAAAGCAAAGAAAUCUUAGUGAUGAAAAGAAACUGUCAGAGUCUGCUGUACACAGCCCUCACCAUUUCCCUCCUUGAUGGAAUCCCAUCUCCAUUGCAAAAUCUGAGCACUCUUGGUUAGAAGAAAGCAUCAAGUCAUUUAACACGGCCCUUUAUCCAUAUGCUAUGACUGGUGGUGGAGACAGACUUCAGCACAUGACAGCCCUGCCAGAUGGUCUUCCAGCCUGUGUCUGAACACUUCAUCGAAGGGGAACUUCCCACUUCAUCAAGCAGCAGUCCCACUGCUGGACAGCUCUAAUUGUUAGAAAAUUCUUCAGUAACUUCCAACCUUUAUUUUGAAAAUCACACAUGUGAUUUUCACUAACAUAACAAUCCUCCAAAGGUUGAAUCAUGGCUAUCAGGUCUCUCCUUACCCACCUUACAAUUUCUAGGCUAAACAGCUAAAAUUCUCUUUCCCUCAGAUGAUACUUUCUUUCCUGGACCCCUAUCUAUCAAUGGCUACUAAAAUGUGCCCUUUUGUGUCACACACCACCUAGAAUUAAAAAAAAAGAAAAAGAUUUCAGAUGUGAUCUACAGUACAGGUUUUCAGUAAGACUUAAAUCAUCAUCCAAAGCCCACCUUCAUUAUGAUAAUUUUAUCUGCUUUAUCCACAAGCAAUUCUCCUGGGAAGAGAUUCUUGUUUGCUGCUGAUGGAAC